AGUGAACGCUGGCGGUAGGCCUAACACAUGCAAGUCGAACGGCAGCACAGUAAGAGCUUGCUCUUACGGGUGGCGAGUGGCGGACGGGUGAGGAAUACAUCGGAAUCUACUUUUUCGUGGGGGUUAACGUAGGGAAACUUACGCUAAUACCGCAUACGACCUACGGGUGAAAGCAGGGGAUCUUCUGACCUUGCGCGAUUGAAUGAGCCGAUUUCGGAUUAGCUAGUUGGCGGGGUAAAGGCCCACCAAGGCGACGAUCCGUAGCUGGUCUGAGAGGAUGAUCAGCCACACUGGAACUGAGACACGGUCCAGACUCCUACGGGAGGCAGCAGUGGGGAAUAUUGGACAAUGGGCGCAAGCCUGAUCCAGCCAUACCGCGUGGGUGAAGAAGGCCUUCGGGUUGUAAAGCCCUUUUGUUGGGAAAGAAAAGCAGCAGGUUAAUACCCCGCUGUUCUGACGGUACCCAAAGAAUAAGCACCGGCUAACUUCGUG
Molecule: ribosomal RNA, 492 nt
Filed under: uncultured bacterium
Lineage: Bacteria
Description: partial 16S ribosomal RNA
Rfam family: Bacterial small subunit ribosomal RNA
Source: RNAcentral